Haplochromis burtoni (Burton's mouthbrooder) is the source of this 3257-nucleotide long non-coding RNA. RefSeq lists it as uncharacterized. The transcript is spliced from 4 exons. The record is from RefSeq and is a predicted model, not a curated record. NCBI's taxonomy places the organism in Eukaryota, Metazoa, Chordata, Actinopteri, Cichliformes, Cichlidae.
UUAUUAGUCCCUGGGACUAAUAAUGUAUUAAUAACUUUUCUAAUCUCUUACUAUUUUAAAAGAAGUCUUUAGAAGGCGUUUCUGGAUUUGCAGAUUAUAAACUGACUUGUGGUUAAAUUGUUGAAUCAAUAUGCACUGCUGCGCUGCUUCACACUUAGCGCAUACGUGGAUAUUGAUAUUGGCUAGCCCAUUUGCUAACUGGUGGAACUUUGAAACUUACGUUUAGUUCUCUGGAGUUGUACAUAUUAAAACUGGGGCAGCAAAAUUGUAGGCACAGGACAUACUUACAAAAGCAGUGAAUAAUCAUUACAUAAUUACGCGGUAGAACUUGGUUUACAUUGCAAAUAGUUAUGUAUACUAAGUUGAAAUGUAGAAUCUUCUGAACUGUAAAAUUGUUGUGCCUGGUCUAUUUUAGGUUAGCUUAAGGGUGAAUCCAUCAAUAAUAUUUUUACCAAACAGUUAUUUUUUCGUUUUAUUUUAUUCUGAUGCCCAGUGUUCAUUAGUGAAAGACUUAGUUUUUUAUCUGUCAGGGGCUGGGUCUGUGACACAGCAUUUUGAGUUUAUUUUGUAUUUUUGCUUUCUUAUGUUAUAUUGAAAUGAGGUGAAGUUCUUGUAUUGUUGUUAUUAUUAGUUAAGGUUUAGUUGAGUUCUGGGCUGGUUAUGUUUCAUCUGUGUCUCCUGGGUUGUGUGUCUUUUCUGUUCUCUGUGUAGUCUGUCUUGUCUUCUGUGUUUUACUGUUAUGUCCAUGCCAGGGCAGAAGUAAAUUUUCAGGGGUGAAGAUGCUGUUUACCUUGACCAGCUAAGACUACAGAUUGUAGAUGAAGUCGAGAAAAGUGAAAAGAAUCCUGAUUACAAAGCUGAUGCUCACAACUUUGGCCUUGCAAUGCAAAGAGAUCAUCAAUGAUGACCUACCAGUAGGUCAGAUCCUGGAUUGCUGGCCUACUCUGAAAUCCCAGUCCCAGAUCUGUGCAGAAUUCCACAGGAUUACAAACCUCCACCUGAAGAACCACUUUUAUGCUGUUGGACCAACAUGCUCCCUGGCUCCAGAGUUUAUUCAGAAAGAAAGCUGUUUGGACAGGGAACGUGUCUGAUGUCCUGUCUCAGCUCUUCAGAAGCUAUAAUCUCCAGGAACAAGCUGAUAUCCAUGCCCAAAGUGCUGGUGUGCUUCAUGCCCUCUCUGCCUAUUUGUACGAAGACACCUCUACCUUCAUCAAAACAUGGGAUCGUGUCGAUGUACGUGUUGUAGGACAAGACCCUGGAGAGGCUCUUAUUGUGGCGGUAUGACAUUGACCCAGGUUGGUGAUUUCAGCUGUUUAACAAGAUGCUUGCGGUGCAAUUUAAAGGUGAAACUGCAGGAAUAUUCUCAGUGGUGGUUUGAUGUUGUUAGCCAUUCCCCGCUCUCAAGUGAAGCUGCUGUCUCUGUGCUGCUUUUUUGCAUUGAAAUUGGCUCAAACAUCCUGAACCCACAGAUUAUCUCCCAUAUCCCAGAGCUUUUUAGCCUCUUUUUUUUCUUUCAGACAAACAGCCCUCACUUCAAUAAAAUACUUGCGGGAUAGGACGAGUCUCGCUCCGCAACAGCUGGAUGUCUGACACUGUUUACGUAUAGUGCAAAGUGUCUGACAGCAUGUCAACAUGUCUACAACUUGUUCCACCACAGCUAAGUGGAGAAAUGAAUAAUUCAUUAAUUCACACAUUAAUGUUGUUUAUAGGUUUGCUUUAGGGGUUAUGGGUGCUCCCAAACGGUCUCAUCAAUCCCUGGGUCACACUCCAUCUUCCAUCUGAUGGGGUGUUUAUUGUUGCCCACAGGGACGGUUUAAUAUGACUGCAGUUUUAUAAGCUCUGGGCCGCUCUUCUUAAUUAUGUUCGUCUCCAUAAAAGCCGGCUAUUAAAUCUUGAAAACCUAAUAACGACCUUAGUGUUAAACAGCCUUUUUCCAUCUUUGCACACAGCACUGAGACCAGACAAAACAUAUUUGCUUGCAAGCAGAUGAGAUUAAAAAGGAAGAUUCCUUAUCUUCUAUUUUGUCUUCCUGUCGUUGAUUUCCCGUGUGUUUUAAAAGCAACCUUAUAUGCCACCAUCACAACUCUAGAAAUAAUUUUUCCAGCAUUUUGAAAUAUUAUUACUUCAUAGGGGCAACCCUACAUUUGUGCUUGUGCACAAAUGUCAUACCGGAGCUUGCAAAGUGCCGCCACUGUUUAACUAACAGCUGACGUAAGCUUCUGCAACUAAACUGUUAGUUUCACCUGGAUCACCUUUGGGUCAUCUUUCUGUGCAAACAUUUCACUCAAUUUCCAAUUCUCACUGCAGCACAAAGAGAGACCGUGCAACGGUAAUGGCCACGAAUGAAGAGCGGAAAGAGGUUUCGAUGACUCGACUCGAGAGCAAACCUCCCAUGACGGCUAUCUGGCACUCAACGAAGGCAAUAAUGACAGCGCUCUUUUCCUCUGAAGCUCACUGAACUCUAUUAAUCAUACAAAGAAAUGACUGUAGGCCUCUUUAGCUCCAUCCUCGUGCACUCUCAGAUAAAUGCUGGUUUUUAAGCCUGUUUCCUGCCAAAAUCAAGGAGAGCUUCUAUGGUCUAGAGCACAGGUGUCGAGGGCUGGUGUCCUGCAGGUUUUAGAUGUGUCCUUGAUCCAACACGGUUUAUCUAAAUGGCUAAAUGGCCUCUUAUGCCUAUAUUUAACUCUAUACUUUCAUUCUUGGACUCUUGGACAUUAAAGACUUUGCAUAUGACUGGGUAGCAUUAGCUGUUUAUUGCCAAUCGCCUGUGCCAUUUAUGUUCUUUCUUGCAGACAUUUCAAGGAAAUACAUCACUUUUUGAUCAGAUUAGUAUUUUGAUAAGAGUUUGAUUAUUGGGUGGCCCCAUUGGAUUGCCUGGUUCUUAAGGGUCUUGCAGACUUUUUGACGUUGGGAAUGGGUGUACUACAUAAAGAACUGUCAGUACUUCUUUAGUCUCUCACAAACAGGGGGUCUGAACAGCAGGUGGGCAGACUGGGCUGUAUGCUUGAGGUGACCAUAUUAAAAAUCACCCUUCUCUAUGACUUAAGACAGAGCCAAGGUUAUAAACGUAAGCUUUUGGGUCACAGGGAUAACUUGUGUGGACACCGACCUCAUGGUUUAAAAUUUUGGUCAUGUUUAAUAUAAGCGUCUCUCAUAGUAACAGUGUAUAUAUGACAGAAAAUAAGGAAACGUAAUUUAUGAUUGAACUGUUUGGGUAUGUAGUCAAAAUGAGCUGAUUUUGUUUUUCUUUACCUAAA